UCAGCCUAAACCUUGCUCUGUCAUGGAAGAUGUGCCAAUGUCUACCUCCCAACCUAGAUCAGAUCCGCCGACUGCUCAUCAUCGUGGUGUUUUUUCACGGUGCUGCCGGCAGCUUGAAUAGAGGAGAAUCUCAGUAGAAGACACUGACCUCCACUGAAAUAAAUCAUUGAACACAUACGAGCAGCCGUGCCGCACGACCUGUGAGAUCGUAGUUCCCCCACCAGGGAUGGUACUCGUGCCUGCUGCAGUUGAAGCACAGAGUCUUGACCACUGGACCCCCAGGGAAGUCCCAAGGCAAAAAUGUUUUAGUAAACAUUAGGCUCAGUGGUAUUCAAUGGUAGGAUUCCACCUCUGAAACAUUCCUUGACUUUUCUUAUAACAUCUGUGCUAACGGUGCUUUACAAAUUAUGGUGCACACACUAGGCUUGGUUGAAGUAAUAAAGUUAAGGAAAUUAACAUGAAAUUCCUGGCCAGUUACCUCUAUGCUUUUAUAAAAACUCAUAUUUAAAUAACUUUAGAUGUAUAGAUUAUAAAAAUAACAUGCUAAAGCCUUUGCCUUCUCAGGAACAAUUUACAAGUAUGAUUUAGAAAAACUAUUCAGCUAUUCCAAGAGAGUGUUUUGAACAAGUUGGAAAACAGAAUUAAACACCAUGUCAUGCAAAGUGGUGACUGAGUAAAUGUUUCUUUUUUCUUCCUAAGGGACUCGAGAGCAUUACGAAUAUAUGCAAACAAUCUGAACUGAGGCCGCCUAAGAUGUCAAUUCAAAGUUAUUAGAGUCAUUUUAUAGGCAUUAAAAAAAACACCUGGCGUUAUAUUUUCAUUCUCAAAUUUCAUAAGUGCACAAAAUCUAUUUGCACAUGGUUGCACCCAGACGACGUUAAUCUUUAAUGUGGUUAAACUCCAUUUGAACGUAUGCCAAGAUAGAAGCCAUGAUUAGCUUAUCUUGAAAAUGACCACUUCAUUCUUCCCCAUUAUCAGAUAAUCUCUGGUGGAGAGAGAACUGUCGUAAAGUCUUCCUGUCUGAGCUCUUGAAUGGUCAUAACACUGAAGCUCCGAGCCUGACCUCUAGAUCUCAUGCUGACCCAUUGCGAAUCAGACCUUCUUCAGGACUUGAAUUGAAAGCUAUUGAGCCAAUGCUUGGAGGAGUCAUUAUAGAGCUUAACGCACAGAGCAAAAGAAGGUGGAGAAUACAAUUUAAGAAAAUUUUCCUGCUGGUUAAGAAAAGGACCUUCCUGACAUGAGAAGAUCAAAAGAGAAGGAUAGAAGGGAUAGAAGCAGCCCUGAGUCCAGUCUGGGAAGGAGGAUAGGUGAACCUCCUGGAGGGUGAGACAGCGUAUGGAGCAGAGGCAGCCUCCAGCUGAGGCCCUGAGACCAAACUGCCUGUCUACACAAGGUGUGAGAGUGAGGCCAUCUUGGACCAUCCAGCCUCAGCAGAGCCAUCAGCUGACCACAGAGAUUAGCCCCGCUGGCCCAGACUAGAGGAACUGCCCAGCUAACCCAGAGG
Long non-coding RNA from Orcinus orca (killer whale), 1504 nucleotides. RefSeq lists it as uncharacterized. The transcript has 4 exons. The record is from RefSeq and is a predicted model, not a curated record. NCBI's taxonomy places the organism in Eukaryota, Metazoa, Chordata, Mammalia, Artiodactyla, Delphinidae.